GUCUAUAGUCAUACUACCCUGAAAUCUUUGAUGUAGAAAGCUAAGCCAGAUCAGACCCAGUUAGUACUUGGAUGGGAGAAUGCCUAGAAAUACUAGGUGCUAUUGGCU
RNAcentral lists this ribosomal RNA (108 nucleotides) under Monodelphis domestica (gray short-tailed opossum). Lineage: Eukaryota; Metazoa; Chordata; Mammalia; Didelphimorphia; Didelphidae. The record is from RNAcentral.